GACGAACGCUGGCGGCGUGCUUAACACAUGCAAGUCGAACGGAAAGGCCCUGCUUGCAGGGUACUCGAGUGGCGAACGGGUGAGUAACACGUGGGUGAUCUGCCCUGCACUUCGGGAUAAGCCUGGGAAACUGGGUCUAAUACCGGAUAGGAGCCAUUUUUAGUGUGAUGGUUGGAAAGUUUUUUCGGUGUAGGAUGAGCUCGCGGCCUAUCAGCUUGUUGGUGGGGUAAUGGCCUACCAAGGCGGCGACGGGUAGCCGGCCUGAGAGGGUGGACGGCCACAUUGGGACUGAGAUACGGCCCAGACUCCUACGGGAGGCAGCAGUGGGGAAUAUUGCACAAUGGGCGCAAGCCUGAUGCAGCGAUGCCGCGUGGGGGAUGACGGCCUUCGGGUUGUAAACUCCUUUCGCUAGGGACGAAGCUUUUUGUGACGGUACCUAGAUAAGAAGCACCGGCUAACUACGUG
RNAcentral lists this ribosomal RNA (465 nucleotides) under uncultured bacterium. Its description in RNAcentral is "partial 16S ribosomal RNA". It matches the Rfam family "Bacterial small subunit ribosomal RNA", at positions 28 to 507 of the family's 1533-position model. The record is from RNAcentral.